RNA transcript from Magnolia sinica, 2243 nucleotides. It is a transcript of the gene named beclin-1-like protein, with no coding region annotated. The record is from RefSeq and is a predicted model, not a curated record. The transcript has 12 exons. Lineage: Eukaryota; Viridiplantae; Streptophyta; Magnoliopsida; Magnoliales; Magnoliaceae.
CCAAAACCAAGGAAAGUCGAGAAAGCAGAGCAAAGCAAACAGAAAUCGUAGAGACGAUAGAGAGAACAGAAACCCUAGCGAAGAGAGAGAUGAAGAAGGACGAUUCAAAUCUUCCUCCCGGAGUUUGCCAGAACUGCCGCCAAUCCCUUUGCUUCGCGACCGUUGAUUCCUAUACAGACAAGCUCUUCAACGGCUCCGUCUCCUCUUCUUACUCCGGAAGCACAUUGGAUUCAACCUGGAUGGACCAUUCAUUUGUUGUGUUGCCAAAGCAAAAAAGUCAGGCGCAUGGAUUUCCCCCUCGUCCUCGCACUGGGACUGCAAAACCUGAUUCUGACCAAUCCAGGAAGGCAAUGGAAGAGUCUUUUGUUGUAUUGCCGCUUGCCAGCAGAAAACCAUCGAUCAUAACCAUGUUGAACAGAAGAUUUGAUAUUGCCACAGCCCAAACACUGGUUGAUCAACCACUGUGUUUGGAAUGUAUGCGGAUGCUGUCUGAUAAACUCAAUAAAGAGGUCGAAGAUGUAAGACAGGAUAUUAAAGCUUAUGAGGCUUGUCUUCAACGCCUUGAGGUGGUGUCAUGCAACGCUCUUAGUGAAGCUGAUUUCAUUCAGGAAAAGGACAAGGCUGAAGAAGAAGAGAGAAGGCUUGAAUCAGCCAUUGAAGAAGCUGACAAACAGUUGGCAGAAGUAAAUAUUCAACGAAAGGGAUUAGAAUUUGAAUCAAAGCGUUUCAAAGAACUAGAGGAUAGCUACUGGCAUGAGUUCAACAGUUUCCAGUUUCAGCAAACUUCACGUCAGGAAGAGAGAGAUGCAAUUUUGUCCAAGAUUCAAGUAUCACAAGCACAUCUGGAAUUGUUGAAGUGCACGGAUAUGCUGAAUGAUGCCUUUCCUAUUUGUGUUGAUGGAGAUUUCGGAACUAUUAACAAUUUUCGGCUUGGUCGUCUUCCUAAUAUACGGGUUCAGUGGGACGAGAUAAAUGCUGCUUGGGGGCAGGCAUGCCUUCUUCUCCACGUGAUGGCCCAAUAUUUCCAGCCAAAGUUUCCAUAUCGUAUAAAGAUUCUUCCAAAGGGAAGUUACCCACGAAUUGUGGAUGGUAACGACACAUAUGAGCUGUUUGGUCCCGUGAAUUUAUUCUGGAGCACUCGCUAUGACAAAGCAAUGACCCUGUUCUUGACAUGCCUCAAGGAGUUUGCUAAGUUUGCAACUUCCAAGGAUCGAGAAAACAACAAACGGCCAAAUGAUAUUUUCAAGCUCCCUCAUGAGAUUGAAAAUGACAAGGUGAAGAGCUACAGAAUUGCAUUAAGCUUCAAUAAGCUGGAGCAUUGGACAAAGGCUCUCAAGUACAUGCUCUGUGAUCUGAAAUGGGUGCUAUCCUGGUUCGUCCACAACACCAAUUUUCAGCCUCUUUCUGCACCACCAGCUUCUUCUCAGACCAAUUCUCAACUUAGUGCAUCAACAGGGAAAUGUCUCCAAGGCGGAAUCUAGUGGCAUCUCCAUGCAAAAUAGGACACGUUCAAGCAAGUAGGGCUGAAAGCCUGAAAGGGCGCAGAUCCGUCCAGGCCCAUCACCUCAUGUAAAAACAAAAACCCAAGCCUGGCAAGGGCCCAUGACAGACCAAAACAGGUGUGCUAGAGGCAGAUGCAGUGAUCAGAGACCAAUGACCUUGCGGAUCAGUUACCUAUUUAGCCAUUUGAUUGAAGGGACGUCAAUAUUCGCAUGAUUGCGGACGUAAUUCAACAACGGAACGGCAAAGAAAGAAGAGAAUUGAUUGAAAGUUGAAAAUAAUUUUAUUGAUGAUUUACAAUUAUCAUACUUGCAAUCAAUUGUUAAGAACAAAAAAUCAUUCAUUGUUGUUGAAACUAAGCUUCAUGGCAAGAUGGUCAUUCGGGAGGCCGACAAUCAUCUUAAUGAAAGUUGGUGAUCAUCUGGCAUAGAAUGACAACCCAGUGUAGCAGCACGGCAAUGUAAUCAUGUAGAAUUUCUUGUAGCAGCGUGGUAGCAUAGCCAUGUAGCAGCAUAGUAACAUAGCAAAAUAGCCACGUAGUCCAGGAUAGCAGCGUAGCCACAUAGCUGCAUAACAGCCUUGUAAAUAAGUAGCGUUGCGCAAGUUUUAUUGAUUUUAGACCUCUCCAACGAACUCCAUUGAUUGCUUUAUUUAUAGAUUAUAUGAGAUGAGUAUGUAAUUAUUGCACUACCUUCUCAAUUACGAGUAAUUAUAUGACCACUCCAUCACCUCCUUAAUUACGA